RNAcentral lists this long non-coding RNA (2081 nucleotides) under Homo sapiens (human). RNAcentral describes it as "HSALNT0358317". Lineage: Eukaryota; Metazoa; Chordata; Mammalia; Primates; Hominidae. The record is from RNAcentral.
UGGCGCCACUGCACUCCAGCCUGGGCAACAGAGUGAGACUCCAUCUCAAAAAAAAAAAGGUCUGUGCCAUCCCUUAACAAAACUCCUAUCACUUGCUCUUCAUCUUCCAUGUGCUAUGCACCCUAUACCCCACUAUAGGCACUUAUCUAAACACUCCUUGUCUUUUCAUAUUUAUUUAUUCACAUGUCCCAUAAUUUUUUAUUUGAUAUCAUCUAUGAACCAGGCCCUGUGCUCACUGCUGGGAGAGAUAAACAUGAAUCAGACCCUGGCCCUGCACUCUGGAGGAUGAAGUCUGUUCUUCAUGUUGUUGCUAUUCUGCCAUUUUGAUAUACCCUUUUCCAUCAGAAAAUGUCUACUCUCAUAAAUAGAAAGUCUUAUAUUUUUCCCACAUAUCAGUGCAUCAUUUUAUGUAUGCACUCCUUGGAGUUCAUACAGUGCACUUUGAAGACAUCUGGACUAAGACCCAGAAACAGGAAGUAAAUAGAGUUUUUUGGUUGAAAGUGACAGAAAACCAAUUCAAACAAGUAGGAAAGGGAAUUUAUUGGUUCACAUAAGCAGGAAGUGCCGAGGUAGAUUAGAGCUGACCUUAGAGACUCCAAGAACACAUCACCUGUCACUCCCUCUGUCUGCCUCCUCAGGCCUUCUACCCUGAUGACUUCUAUUGCAGAGAUGGGUGAAGAGUAGAUGGUAGAUCUGGUGGCAGAAAGCUAUGAGCUUAUGUCAAUCCAGCCUAGUGAUGCCCCUGGAAAAAUAUGUUCUUUCCUAGCAUUCAUCUAAAAAUCUUAAGAAAUGGUUGUCAUUGACCCAAUUUGGAUAAUGUAUUCAUUCCUGAACCAGUAACUGAGGCAAGGGGAUGAAGAGCUCUGAAGGGAGAGGCUUGAAUCACAUACUCAUCCCUGUGGUCUGGAGGGCACUGUGACUGGUAACUGAAGAAGAACCACAUGGAAUUGGGGAGGAGCAGUUCUCCAAAGGAAGGUGAGUGCUGUAAUCAGAAAGGGGGGAAAGGAUCGGGGGCAGACAAACACAAAAAAUGCCACUACAGACAGUGUGGAGGCAAAACUAGACUACUGAUCCUUGAUUCUUUCCAUUGCAUUAUGGUGUUGUAGCUAGAUGAUCAAACCACAUAUCCCUCAGAAGACAGGUAUGAUCCUAAGAUAGUCCAGUCCUCAUUAUUGUACAGGAGCUGCAUAGGCAGAACAUUUCCUUACUCCUGAUGUUUCUUUCUAGACUUCUGCUUCCAGUUGUAAGGGAAGCCCUAUAAUUGAGACAGACUUACCAUUCUCCUGUAAACAGAAAACUUGACAAAACAUAUGAAAUAACAGUUUUCAGACAAUGGACUGUGAUCCUUGAGAGAAUGGAAACAAAUGAGCUUCCUUGGCCUUUGGAGAUAUGCUCAACAAUUUAGAGAAAAGCAUGAACAUAAUGAGGAAAUAAAUUGAAGAUAAGAAGACUCAAACAGAACUCCUAAGGGAGGAAAAAUACAGUGUUUAAAAUGAAAAUGUUACCAGAUAGGAUGAAAAGCUAAUUAGAUACUGCAAAAGAAAAGAUCAGUGAACUUGAAGACACACCUUAGAAACGAUCUCAAACGAAGCACAGAGAGGAAAAAAAGAGUGAGAUAAAAACCAAUAUCACUGAUCUAUGGGACAAUGUCAAGCAGUCCGACAGACAUAACACUGGAGUCGCAAAAGGGGAUGUGGGGGCAGAAAAAACAUUUUGAAAAAAUAAUGGGCAAACAUUUUCCAAAUUUGAUGACAGCUAUAAAUCCAGAUCAAAGAAGCUCAAGGAACCCCAAGCAUGAUAAAUAAAAAUAAAAUCACACCAGGGAGCAUUACAUUUAAAUUGCUGAAAGCCAGUGAUAAAGAUAAAAUCUUAAAAGCAGUCAGAGGAAAAUUAAGAAAAGACAUUAUGUACCUAGGAACAAAGAUAACAAUGACAGCAGACUACUCAUCAGAAACUAUGCAAGCUGGAAGACAAUGAAACAUCUUUAAAUGCUGAAAGAAGAAAACCCCAAAAACCUAUUAACCUAGAAUUAUGUUCACAGUGAAAGUACCUUUCAAAAAUUAAGAUGAAAUAAAAUUUUU